This 497-nucleotide ribosomal RNA is filed under the name uncultured bacterium. RNAcentral describes it as "partial 16S ribosomal RNA". It matches the Rfam family "Bacterial small subunit ribosomal RNA", at positions 28 to 507 of the family's 1533-position model. The record is from RNAcentral.
GAUGAACGCUGGCGGCGUGCCUAAUACAUGCAAGUCGAGCGAACAGACGAGGAGCUUGCUCCUCUGACGUUAGCGGCGGACGGGUGAGUAACACGUGGAUAACCUACCUAUAAGACUGGGAUAACUUCGGGAAACCGGAGCUAAUACCGGAUAAUAUAUUGAACCGCAUGGUUCAAUAGUGAAAGACGGUUUUGCUGUCACUUAUAGAUGGAUCCGCGCCGCAUUAGCUAGUUGGUAAGGGAACGGCUUACCAAGGCAACGAUGCGUAGCCGACCUGAGAGGGUGAUCGGCCACACUGGAACUGAGACACGGUCCAGACUCCUACGGGAGGCAGCAGUAGGGAAUCUUCCGCAAAGGGCGAAAGCCUGACGGAGCAACGCCGCGUGAGUGAUGAAGGUCUUCGGAUCGUAAAACUCUGUUAUUAGGGAAGAACAAAUGUGUAAGUAACUAUGCACGUCUUGACGGUACCUAAUCAGAAAGCCACGGCUAACUACGUG